CAGCAGUAGCCGCGGUAAUACGAAGGGUGCAAGCGUUACUCGGAAUUACUGGGCGUAAAGCGUGCGUAGGCGGUGGUUUAAGUCCGUUGUGAAAGCCCUGGGCUCAACCUGGGAAUUGCAGUGGAUACUGGGUCACUAGAGUGUGGUAGAGGAUAGUGGAAUUUCCGGUGUAGCAGUGAAAUGCGUAGAGAUCGGAAGGAACAUCUGUGGCGAAGGCGACUAUCUGGGCCAACACUGACACUGAGGCACGAAAGCGUGGGGAGCAAACAGGAUUAGAUACCCGCGUAGUCCCUGUCUCUUAUAC
This 304-nucleotide ribosomal RNA is filed under the name uncultured bacterium. Its description in RNAcentral is "partial 16S ribosomal RNA". It matches the Rfam family "Bacterial small subunit ribosomal RNA", at positions 506 to 807 of the family's 1533-position model. The record is from RNAcentral.